AUCUAUGUAGGUUCCAGUGAGGGAAAUCAAAGUGAAGGGUCCAUAAACAAUGAAAGAAGCUUGGUAUGAGAGAGUGGGCAAGAGUGGUGUUAGUACGAAUCAUUUCUACCCUUCACUUUCAUUUCCUUCACUGGCACCCACAUAAAUA
This 148-nucleotide microRNA precursor is filed under the name Glycine max (soybean). RNAcentral's name for it is "miR9740 stem-loop (gma-MIR9740)". The record is from miRBase by way of RNAcentral. Lineage: Eukaryota; Viridiplantae; Streptophyta; Magnoliopsida; Fabales; Fabaceae.